This 488-nucleotide ribosomal RNA is filed under the name uncultured bacterium. RNAcentral's name for it is "partial 16S ribosomal RNA". It matches the Rfam family "Bacterial small subunit ribosomal RNA", at positions 30 to 507 of the family's 1533-position model. The record is from RNAcentral.
AUUGAACGCUGGCGGCAUGCUUUACACAUGCAAGUCGAACGGCAGCACAGGGAGCUUGCUCCUGGGUGGCGAGUGGCGAACGGGUGAGUAAUGUAUCGGAACGUGCCUGGUAGUGGGGGAUAACUACUCGAAAGAGUGGCUAAUACCGCAUGAGAUCUUUGGAUGAAAGCGGGGGACCUUCGGGCCUCGUGCUACUGGAGCGGCCGAUAUCAGAUUAGGUUGUUGGUGGGGUAAAGGCCUACCAAGCCUGCGAUCUGUAGCUGGUCUGAGAGGACGACCAGCCACACUGGGACUGAGACACGGCCCAGACUCCUACGGGAGGCAGCAGUGGGGAAUUUUGGACAAAGGGCGCAAGCCUGAUCCAGCAAUGCCGCGUGCAGGACGAAGGCCUUCGGGUUGUAAACUGCUUUUGUACAGAACGAAAAGUCUCUGGCUAAUAUCUAGAGAUCAUGACGGUACUGUAAGAAUAAGCACCGGCUAACUACGUG